AGAGUGAACGCUGGCGGCAGGCCUAAUACAUGCAAGUCGAACGGCAGCACAGCAGAGCUUGCUCUGUGGGUGGCGAGUGGCGGACGGGUGAGGAAUACAUGGGAAUCUGCCCAGUCGUGGGGGAUAACGUAGGGAAACUUACGCUAAUACCGCAUGCGCCCUUCGGGGAAAGCCGGGACCUUCGGCCUGCGCGAUUGGAUGAGCCAUGUCGGAUUAGCUAGUUGGCGGGGUAACGGCCCGACCAAGGCGACGAUCCGUAGCUGGUCUGAGAGGAUGAUCAGCCACACUGGAACUGAGAACACGGUCCAGACUCCUACGGGAGGCAGCAGAGGGAAUAUUGGACAAUGGGCGCAAGACCUGAUCAGCCAUGCCGCGUGUGGUGAAGAAAGGCCGUCGUGGUAAGUAGUACUUAGUUACGGUAAGAAACG
RNAcentral lists this ribosomal RNA (428 nucleotides) under uncultured soil bacterium. Its description in RNAcentral is "bacterial SSU rRNA". It matches the Rfam family "Bacterial small subunit ribosomal RNA", at positions 26 to 452 of the family's 1533-position model. The record is from RNAcentral.